GCAAAGUAGGAAGUAUCAUCUAGUGACCUGCUGCUACACGGGCAGGUUUUUUUUGUUGUUGGCGUGCCGAUCAGAGGAUCGCCGGGCACAACAAACCGAAACACGCUUCUUCUAAAACCGUAAAAUAACUCUUUGACAUUUUGAUUCGAGAAUAAGAAUCGUGGGCUUUCACGAGAACACCUAGCCCACACUUUAUGCUUUCUGGCAGACAGUCGAGUCGACUUGCACAGCAGCGCUUUAGCAUUUUUUUUCUUUAUUCCGUUUUUUUCUUUCUUUUUUCUUUUUUUCAAAAAAAGUUUUGAAAACAGGGUUGGAAAUGUCCCAAAGAGGACAAAAUCACACGAAUGGCUCGACCACCAUAACUGAGCGAGGGGAAGGCGGAGAGUCGCAACCCAGUGGCGGAACAGACUCCGAUCCAAGCCGGUCCGAGAACCGCCAAGCCGGCGAAGGGGACCAAAUGUGGGGAGGGAUUGUAACUACAAAUAGGGUCCCUGGUCAAGUGCAAGCGGCCCCGCGAUUUAGUGCGCUGUCCGCAUCGUCAAGCGGAUAUCAUUCACUCGACAUUUCCCUUCCAAACUCCCCCUUUAUGACACAUAACAAGUCGACACAGACCCCCAGUCCGUCUAGUCAAGUAAUUGCCCAUGCACAACAGCGACUGUCCCAGGGGCAGGAGAACCUGCGAGAUUAUGACACGCGACGAGCCCCUGUCCCCUUCUUUAGAACGUGGACGCUGUCGAUGCUGCCGGACAUGCGGCCAGAGAUGCUGGUCGCACAAGAGCUACGGCGCAUCGGUGACAAGUUCAAUGAUAUCUACAUGAAUGGGUGGACACUGAUAUUAACAUCCAUUACCCCGGGGAUCUGAGCCUGGCGUUGAGCGGAUGGCGCUGCAUUCGUCGCAGCCAAGGCCAAAUGGGGAGAAGCCAAGACCUCCAUCUAGAACAUUCUGUUCACUCUGCCGUCGACGGUAACAUGCAAGGAAGGUUCAGACAGAAGAAUGAAUAGACCUUCGGGACGUCAGUGCGACCUGCCUCCCAUCUUCAGGUUUUAUUUAACUUGGAUCCUCUCUCUUCUAGCAGAAAUUUUCCAUUCAGUUGCGGCAGGUUUUGAAGAAGCUCAACAAAACCCACCCGCCCUCCCGGCGGCACUUUGGUCCUGUCAGAGACACAUGGAGAAGAGCAUCUCCUGCCCCCAGCCACGUGAAAUCGGAGGCUUUACACCUUUACAUUCGUCCCCAUGCUGUUAGUAGCACAGAAGGUGCUCUGGAUCUUCUUAGACUCACCGUCUCACAGCUUUGCUGUACCUCUCCUGCGAAACUUGGUUCACCUACACACUUCCUCCAGGUAGCGUGCCUCUGCCUGCGCUGUCUGGCAGCCCCCAAUGCCGAAGGAAAAAAGAAAUUCGCUUGUGGCAAAGAGAGGUACUUCUUGUACGAUUUCCCAGCGACGCCCCCGAGGGGACCUAACCGGACACAUCGCACAAGGGAAAAGUUGUCUGAUUAUCUAAUAAUGACUACAAACAUUCAAAAUAAGAGGAAGUGAUAAACAGCAUCUUCUUUCCAAGAAAAAUGUCACUACAAAGGUUUAAUAUCGGGUGACUGGCAGCACGGCGACUCAGAAAGGCUUCCUCCUUCAAUGGUGACGCAUCGUUCAGGUGGCGGACGCUCUCGCCGGACAAGCCCUGCCCGCUGGUGGCGGUUUCUAAGACCAGGGCGACCAACCCGCAAAUGCUGAAGUUACUUUACUGUCUGGCAGGAUUCCCAGCGCUCAGUGUAAGCAGCACGGACCUGCCUGGGACUCACGCUGACUCACUGAGUCACCUGCCUCAAAUAACCAGCCAGUCGCUGGGCUGUUUAUUAGCUGAGUAGAGCAACGCAAAUGGCCCCACCAGGACUACAAACUGGUGGGGUCUGGGUGAUCUACAGGUAUGAGUGACCACAGCUCAGUAAUACAGAGUAUCAAUAGCCAGCUGAGGGGGGGGGCGCUGUGUGGGUCAGUGGGUUUGGAUGCAUGCUGUGCCUCUAUUUGCAGUGUGACUAGUUCAAACCCCAGAAUUGGCAGUGUGAUGUCACCGUUGGGCCCUUAGUGAGGCCCUUACUGUCACCGUUGGGCCCUUGGCGAGGCCCUUACUGUCAUCGUUGGGCCCUUGGCGGGGCCCUUGGCGAAGCCCUUAAUGUCACCGUUGGAUCAUUGGCGAGGCCCUUACCGUCAUCGUUGGGCCCUUGGCGGGGCCCUUAACGUUACUGUUGGGUCAUUGGCGAGGCCUUUAACGUCACCCGCUGGGCCCUUGGCGAGGCCCUUAACGUUACCGUUGGGUCAUUGGCGAGGCCUUUAACGUCACCGCUGGGCCCUUGGCGAGGCCCUUAACAUUACUGUUGGGCCCUUGGCGGGGCCCUUGGCGAAGCCCUUAACGUCACCGUUGGGUCAUUGGCGAGGCCUUUAACGUCACCGCUGGUCCCUUGGCGAGGCCCUUAACAUUACUGUUAGGCCCUUGGCGGGGCCCUUGGCGAAGCCCUUAACGUCACCGUUGGGCCCUUGGCGAGGCCCUUAACGUCACCAUUGGGCCCUUGGUGAGGCCCUUAAUGUCACCGCUGGGCCCUUGGCGAGGCCUUUAACGUCACCGCUGGGCCCUUGGCGAGGCCCUUAACGUCACCAUUGGGUCAUUGGCGAGGCCCUUGGCGAAGCCCUUAACGUCACCGUUGGGUCAUUGGCGAGGCCCUUACCGUCACCGUGGGGCCCUUGGCGGGGCCCUUAACAUUACUGUUGGGCCCUUGGCGGGGCCCUUGGCAAGGCCCUUAACGUCACCGUUGGGCCCUUGGCGGGGCCCUUAACCUCAACUGUUUCCUGCUUUCUCAUUAAAUUUAUGUUUCUUUGGAUAUAAGCAUCGGCUAAAUAAAUACACUUUGUAGGGCAAUUUAAAGUGUCAUUUGGUGAGUUGGGGAUGGGGGGGUGUUGGAGAGCUCAGGGGGAAGGGUUGGGGGGCGGGGCCCUUGCACAGGCUUUGACCUGUGCGUUUUAUUUAUUUGCUCUGCCCUCUUAUGCCUCAGCUCCUCAUUUUCAUAGAGGCCCCCCCCCCCCGCUCCGUGCUGAGUCUUUGUUGAGUGAAACCUUUUGAUCUGCCACUCAAAACCGCCACUUUAUUAACUGCCAACUCCUAUUUAGUGAUUGAUUGAGGGGCAAUUUGUUUCUGCCACAAAACAACCAUCCCACAAUGCACCACAAGUGGCGUAGGGAGCAUGGAGCUGACUCACGGCCUGCUCCUUAAACCUGGAGUCCUACUGCCACCCUCCCCAGCCAGAGUGCCGGCGUGCCGCACCCUUCAGUGAGAUACCGAAUGAAUUCUGUAAACAAUCUCCGGCUGUAAACACGCACGUCAUUUCUGGACAAGCGUGACCUGGCGAGCGGUGAGCUGGAGACACGUCGUCGCUCAUCGGCGAGAUCGGUGACUCAGCCAGAGUGCCAUUAAGAUGCGGCGACAGGAAUGAGGGAUACACAAACCACAUGCUUAGUGACCCCCCCCGAAGACUAGGCUUUGGGUUUUAUUGCCUUCCUUGUUUGUGUGUUUGUGCGUGCGUUUGUGUGUGCGUGCGUUUGUGUGUGCGUGCGUUUGUGUGUGCGUGCGUUUGUGUGUGCGUGCGUUUGUGUGUGCGUGCGUUUGUGUGUGUGUGCGCGCAGGGCAUUCUCUGUUUUUCGCCUGUUUCCAGGAAGGACGGCGCAAACUUCAGCUCGAGUCUCUGGGUUCUCUUGAAUCUGACAGACUCCUCUAUGCAAUGAGUGUCACUUCUACUGUCAGCCUGGUGAGCAAAAGAAUAUAUAAACAAGCCUGAAUUUGCAGACAUCUGCUUCCUUAAAAGAAACGGAGAUGUUACCAGUGAAAUUACAGGGCUCUCGGAGCUAAAACAGGACGCAAUUUCGUUGCUUUAUUUGAAUAUGGUUUAAUCAGAGAAUAAUAUCUGCCAUGACAUUAUUUCGUUCUCCUCCUUAGCAUCGGCAGAUGAUUGGUGGAUUCACGUGUCUGUGAUAACAGCUGAAAAACGCAUCAGCCUGCGCGGAUUAUUGAACUUCGCUGGGUAAUUACUAUCUGAACGAGCGGUGUAAUGCUCGCACACGUCAGAGCGAGGCCGUCCAGCCACACCUGCGGGGGCCGUGAAGACACAAGCAGCACAGCAAAAGACCUUGUUCUUCCGGUCCUGUUGACAAUGUCCGACCGGUGGGGACAGGCAAUCACGCCAAUCUGGCCUCGGGGGAGGGCGGGGCCCAGCACCCUACAUCUGAACCGUGUCAGCUCCCCCCCGCGACCCUGAGGGGUGACAGCACGUCAGUGGCGUUCCUGGUACUUUCCUGAUUGUGAGUCAGCGGCACAGUCCUCUUAACCCUUUCAGUGCCAAGUAGCAAAAGUCCCAAACCUUUAAAGGCAGGUUACUGGGCGGGACAGCAGCAUGUGACCUGCUCUGGAAAGUGAAAGGUGUCAUUAGCACAGAGCUACAGAGCCCUGGCUGUGCAUGAUUAUCUGCCGCCGCUUCCGCCUCUGCUGUUCUUGUUCCCAAGAGGAGCUAAGAGACAGCAAAACACACUCUGGGGCAUUUGGCUGUCACAGGCUUAGCGCCACCUCCCCCGAAAUGUGGGAAGAAGCGGGAUCUUCUUUCAGGAGCAGGUAGGAAUCAGCACGUGGGCUGAUCUAUCGCAGUCAGAGUCACCGGCGCCACCCCAGACUGCGUCACAUAACUCGCUGGGCCAGUUCUGUGUCACAGCUCGUUUUUUUUAGGAGAGUAUAAAACCCAACUGUGGGGGGUGAGGCUCAGUCUGGAAACUUCUAUGAGGCGACGUGCAGUGAUCCAGCAGCAUGUGGCAUGUUUUCCGGGUGCUGACCCCUGCUCCGGCUGUGCUGGGGGGGCAUGCAGUUUUCUUCUGAUCACAAGUAGGGGGACAAAGUAGGGGUGUAGUGGAGGGGUAAAUGCACGUAAUUGCUGUUUAUAAACCUUGCUAAUUACAAGACAGUGUUCAACUGGUAAAUGUCGUUUUACCAUCAUUUACCACAUUAGCCUACAACACACCACACUGACCCUUUCAACAAACUGGCACAUGUCCCUCCCUGUCCCUCUCCCCCUGACUCCCCCUCCCUCUCACCCUUGUCUUCCCUCUCUUUUCCCCUCCCUCACUCUUCCCUGUCCCUCACCCCCUCCCUCUCUCUCCUCCUCCCCCCACCUCCUUUCCCCUUCUCCCUUCCUGUCCCCUUCUCACCUUUGUCUUCCCUCUCCCCCUCCCUCUCCUACUCCCCCUUCCUGCUUCAUUCCUCAACAACGCAGCCAGUGCUUACAAGCAAUCAGUGACAGGUUCUGCACUGUGCACGCAGAGCAAUGGACAUCAGACAGCAUUUCGCAAGAAUCACAAGAAGCCACAGAUGGAGGGAAAAAAUGGGGAGCUGCCAGAUCCACGCAAAUAGGUGGUGGAAUGUAGCCAGUCAACCACAGAGAGGCCUUGGAAUGUGUCCCGGCAGGAUCCAGCACAAAUCGAGUGCUGCUUACAGCCUCUGCCUCACACCACAAUCUCUAUAUUAUGCUAGAAACCUGAGAAGUUUUGGAAUGAUACUGCAGACCUGGGUGCCCCUAGAACAUCAACCACCCCCCCCCCCCCAGCUAGCUAGCAUUUUGGUAUCUGCGCUCAUCCACCCCAAUGCAACCCACUGAGUGGGAUGUCCAACAAGUAUGACUUUAAAUGGCCGAUGGGGUUUAGAUCAAAUGGUUAGAUGGACUUUAGAGAUGAGUAAUCAGCCUUUUACACUCCCACACUCCCAACAUGGGUUAGCGACCAGCACGAGGUGCUACGUGUGAACGGGCCAAUGACACCCCAGACGCUCAUGCAACACGCUUCCGAUCUCCUGGUGACAUGGGGACGCUCUGCUGCGUUCUGGGGCCUGAAUCAUGAAGCAAGAUCCGUGGUUUAGCUAGUUACCUUGUCGGAUUUAAGGUUCACCACCUUAAACAGAAUUUAUCUUAGUUCAUUUACAUACAGCCCAGACCACCUUAAAUCCUACUUAGCCAACAAAUCUCACUUCGUGAUACAGGCCCCUGGUCACCGAGAGCAGAAGAAUCGUUCUCCAGAUGCUCUGAAAUCCUCAGUUCCAAAGUUAAAGAGAAGUGCAUCUAGUAUUACAGUCUCCAGAACCUCAAAGCCACAUCUGAGCUCAGUUCUGGAAAGCCUGGAAGAGAGGAAAUUGCCUGAGAUGUACACUAUCCCACGUACUGUUUCAAAUCCUUAAU
Molecule: RNA transcript, 6256 nt
Organism: Brienomyrus brachyistius
Lineage: Eukaryota; Metazoa; Chordata; Actinopteri; Osteoglossiformes; Mormyridae
Gene: bcl2l11
Gene name: BCL2 like 11
Exons: 5
Source: RefSeq, a predicted model, not a curated record